UUGAUCCCUGGCUCAGGAUGAACGCUGGCGGCGUGCCUAAUACAUGCAAGUCGAGCGAAUGGAUUAAGAGCUUGCUCUUAUGAAGUUAGCGGCGGACGGGUGAGUAACACGUGGGUAACCUACCCAUAAGACUGGGAUAACUCCGGGAAACCGGGGCUAAUACCGGAUAAUAUUUUGAACUGCAUAGUUCGAAAUUGAAAGGCGGCUUCGGCUGUCACUUAUGGAUGGACCCGCGUCGCAUUAGCUAGUUGGUGAGGUAACGGCUCACCAAGGCAACGAUGCGUAGCCGACCUGAGAGGGUGAUCGGCCACACUGGGACUGAGACACGGCCCAGACUCCUACGGGAGGCAGCAGUAGGGAAUCUUCCGCAAUGGACGAAAGUCUGACGGAGCAACGCCGCGUGAGUGAUGAAGGCUUUCGGGUCGUAAAACUCUGUUGUUAGGGAAGAACAAGUGCUAGUUGAAUAAGCUGGCACCUUGACGGUACCUAACCAGAAAGCCACGGCUAA
Molecule: ribosomal RNA, 508 nt
Filed under: Bacillaceae bacterium CL7.90
Lineage: Bacteria; Bacillati; Bacillota; Bacilli; Caryophanales; Bacillaceae
Description: bacterial SSU rRNA
Rfam family: Bacterial small subunit ribosomal RNA
Source: RNAcentral